This 202-nucleotide ribosomal RNA is filed under the name uncultured Acinetobacter sp. RNAcentral's name for it is "partial 16S ribosomal RNA". It matches the Rfam family "Bacterial small subunit ribosomal RNA", at positions 332 to 525 of the family's 1533-position model. The record is from RNAcentral. Lineage: Bacteria; Pseudomonadati; Pseudomonadota; Gammaproteobacteria; Moraxellales; Moraxellaceae.
AUUACUCCUACGGGAGGCAGCAGUGGGGAAUAUUGGACAAUGGGCGGAAGCCUGAUCCAGCCAUGCCGCGUGUGUGAAGAAGGCCUUUUGGUUGUAAAGCACUUUAAGCGAGGAGGGGGCUCCUUUAGUUAAUACCUGAAGUGAGUGGACGUUACUCGCAGAAUAAGCACCGGCUAACUCUGUGCCAGCAGCCGCGGUAAUA